Molecule: transfer RNA, 72 nt
Filed under: Capra hircus (goat)
Lineage: Eukaryota; Metazoa; Chordata; Mammalia; Artiodactyla; Bovidae
Also listed under: 1 other name
Rfam family: tRNA
About the family: Transfer RNA (tRNA) molecules are approximately 80 nucleotides in length. Their secondary structure includes four short double-helical elements and three loops (D, anti-codon, and T loops).
Source: Rfam by way of RNAcentral
UCCCUGGUAGUCCAGUGGCUAAGACUCUGCAUUCCCAGUGCCAAUGGCCUGGUUCGAUUCCUGGUCAGGGAA